CUUUAGCCAUAGCAAGAGCAAGAUCAGAGAGAAAUAAGGACUUAUGACCAUUAGACCAGGAGACAGGAAGCGAUGGUUCUGGAAGGGGCUCUGUUACUAACUUUGGAAUUCAACUGUCCAGAUAGAAAGGUGGACAUGGAAAAAUUGGGCUUUGCAAAUGGUCACCCAAUUCUUGCCUUCCUGGUCUCCAGAUCACCCUUCCUAUACCGCCACUCUGGAGAAAGAAGUACAGAACGCUAACAAGUUCUCCUUCCUGCCAUCAUGUGAAGAAGAAUGUGUUUGC
This 283-nucleotide long non-coding RNA is filed under the name Homo sapiens (human). RNAcentral describes it as "HSALNT0394122". The record is from RNAcentral. Lineage: Eukaryota; Metazoa; Chordata; Mammalia; Primates; Hominidae.